GCAGCCCAUCUCUUUUCCAACUCCAACAAUUCUCUUUUAGUUCCCAGCCAAACAUACAACACAUGAUAACAACUAGACGCACACCAAAUGUGACCCCACCGCACCCUUCGUUCUUCUCUCCAAAAGUUCAAUGAAACCCAGUUCAUGCACUGAAAAAGCCCAGAACUCCAGCAAAGCAGCGGAUCAGACAACACCAAAGUCGUGUGACGUUAGUCCUCUCUUACUCUCGCGCGUCGUCCUCUUCUCUCAUACAUGGAGCAAUUUAGAGAUUCAGUCCAUGUGGCUCCAUCUCCUUGCCAAAUUGUCCUUUGCUCAAAAUCGACGGCCUACAUUAUCAAUCCGUUGGGAACUGGUACAAUUCCUGCAACAACCUUAUCUCUUAAAGAGGGAUUUGAAUUUCGAAUGGGGAAAAUAUCUUUUAAAAUUCCCCCCAAGUCUGACCUAGAUUUUCUUCUAUAAAUUCCCCAUCUUCUUCUUUAUUUCGGGGGUGGGGGAAAAAUAGAGUUAAUGGGUUACGAAGAAUAAAAGGGGAAGAAAUCGGAAGAAAGUAACACUCCAAUAGCCACAUUUUAGAUUUUCUUUCUUACGAAAGCUUUCGACGGAUCUUAUAAAAUUUAUAGUAGUUUAAUCGUAUGUUGAUUCCAAAAAGAAUCAUGAGUUUCUUUUAAUCUUGGUUUCUCACUUAUUUACUAUUCUCCGAAGUUCUUGGAUUCUCAUUGUGAUCGUGGAAAGCUUUUUCCCUGAUCGUCUAGUCUCAGUCGCUGCCAAGGAAGAGGUAAUGUUUCCUCUAUAAUACUCUCUUCAUUUUUUAUUUUUUUCUUAUUUGAUAUGGUGUUUCGAUGUAGUGAAUUCACGACUUUGUUGUUAGAUUGUCGUUAAUCAGUUUUGAAUAUUGAUAACAUGUAUGCUUAAGUAAUCCCUUUGGCUAACUAUUGUCUAUCGUCUUGGCUUUUUAGCUUUAUCAUGACAAUUUCUAUAUUUCACUUCUCAAGCCUAUUUCGUCAUCUACUUCAUUUGCUUUCGAUUGUUGAGUCUGCUUUUAUCCAUUUGCUCUACUUCCAAGCAUUUGUUUUUCUUCUCUUUAUAUUUUGGUUCUUAUUUUAGUCAUGUUAGGUGUACAUUAUAUUAAUAGUCAAUAUUUCCUUUGUCCUACUUGAAGAUCUGUUUUGUUACCUUAGUAAAAUAUAUGGCAGAGCUCUUAGUUUCUUUCUUCAUUUUCUUUUCACUGUAAAUUUCAUGCUCCUCUUUCCAUUUGAGUUUAUGUCUCAUGCUUGAGUUUAUGUUUCGAUUAGAAGGAUAGUUUUAUUUGAUUAACCUUUCUUCCUUAGGCUCUUUCAAUAUAUAUGGAUAUGCAUGUUGUUUUUAUAUCUAGUUAUCAUACUCCAAAGUUUGAAAAUGUUUUCUGUAUGCUUGAAAUUGUUUGAAGAUUAUUCCUCUGUAACUUUAUUGUUAGUUGCUAUUAUUGUGUAAUCCCAUUUAAAUUUUCUGUACUCUCUUGUUUGUAGUCAGAAUUUUGUUUGCAUUUUAUUUAUUUGUUUUGAUUACUACAAUGUUUAUAUAAGUUUUUGAGUUCAAAUUGAUGGAUAAUGUGUACUCCAUGGUUAAGUUUAUUUGAACUUGACAUUUGUGCCGGUAUGAACUUCAAAUUCAUUAUUUUCUCAAACUUUAAUAUGAUUUAGGCCAUCACUAAUCCUUAUCUUUUCUUUUUCUUUUUCUUUUCACUGUGCCUUUAAAAUUAUCGAUUGAGUUCGCUUGAUUCAAUGAUCUAUCUCAUUGCAUUUCUUAAUAGGCCAUGAAAUCCCAAAUAUUUAUGUCUUGAGUCAGCUGGUAGCAAGUCGUUAAGCAAGUUUCUGGAGGUUAAACAAAGCUGGAAUUCGAAUUUUCAAGCUCUUAAAUGCCAGAAAAAGAUGUUGUAUACACUGAUAUACAUGAUUUAUACAGUAAUAUACAGUCGUAAAUACUGUAUACAGGUUCAAAAACGACGAAGAAGGUUGAAAAAUACAGAAAAUGUGAAGUUCAAACUUAAAUAUAGAUUUAGGAGUUCAAAACGAGUCAAACACUUGAUGUAUAUCAUAUAUAGACUUGGUGUAUAUCUUAUCAUUUGAAGAUUGAAAGAAGCCCAAAAAAAUUUAAAAGAAUGGCCCCGCAGCAGUUUUUUUUUUUUUUUGGAAAUUUAGCAAAACAGCAACAUUUUAGUCUUUAGGGGACUCCUUAACAACAUUUUAACUAUUU
RNAcentral lists this long non-coding RNA (2232 nucleotides) under Solanum lycopersicum (tomato). RNAcentral describes it as "long non-coding RNA (SLYC_LNC001398)". The record is from RNAcentral. Lineage: Eukaryota; Viridiplantae; Streptophyta; Magnoliopsida; Solanales; Solanaceae.